AACGAACGCUGGCGGCAGGCUUAACACAUGCAAGUCGAACGCGUGUAGCAAUACACGAGUGGCGCACGGGUGAGUAACGCGUGGAUAUCUGCCUUUUGGUUCGGAAUAACCCCGGGAAACUGGGGCUAAUACCGGAUGGUUCCUUCGGGAUAAAGAUUUAUCGCCAAAAGAUGAGUCCGCGUCCGAUUAGCUAGUUGGUGAGGUAAUGGCUCACCAAGGCGACGAUCGGUAGCUGGUCNGAGAGGACGAUCAGCCACACUGGGACUGAGACACGGCCCAGACUCCUACGGGAGGCAGCAGUGGGGAAUAUUGGACAAUGGGGGCAACCCUGAUCCAGCCAUGCCGCGUGAGUGAUGAAGGCCUUCGGUUGU
RNAcentral lists this ribosomal RNA (371 nucleotides) under uncultured bacterium. Its description in RNAcentral is "bacterial SSU rRNA". It matches the Rfam family "Bacterial small subunit ribosomal RNA", at positions 29 to 426 of the family's 1533-position model. The record is from RNAcentral.